CAGUAAAAUAGUUUUAAAGCAAUCUAAGCCUUCUGAACUUAUUCUAAUUAAGUAUCUUCACCACAAAUGAUCUUUUCUUCAUACCUUAGGUGCCGAACUUUACAAAUGAAUCUUUGUUCUUCAAUUUGAAUAUUUUCUUCAAAAACUUCCGCGAUCAACUCUUCAAGACUCCAUUCAACAUUACGAAAUUCGCCAACCUAUAAAAUCCUUAACAAUCUCCCCCUUUGGCAAUUUCGUGACAAAAUAUAUUACAAUGCUCGUACACAACUCAGAAACAAUAAAAAGAAGAUCAUCGCAAUCACCAAACGAUAAUCUCCUGCUUGAUCGAUCCAACAAACGAAAAUUACAAUUUUCACACCUUAAUACAGACUCUAUGACUUAGACAUG
Molecule: long non-coding RNA, 387 nt
Filed under: Ananas comosus (pineapple)
Lineage: Eukaryota; Viridiplantae; Streptophyta; Magnoliopsida; Poales; Bromeliaceae
Description: long non-coding RNA (ACOM_LNC037568)
Source: RNAcentral